Molecule: long non-coding RNA, 859 nt
Filed under: Capsella rubella
Lineage: Eukaryota; Viridiplantae; Streptophyta; Magnoliopsida; Brassicales; Brassicaceae
Description: long non-coding RNA (CRUB_LNC000175)
Source: RNAcentral
UUUAUGAUCCCCGACGUUGCGUAUUAGCUCUAACUUCUUUCGCUCGGUUUUAUGAUCCCCGACUUUGCGUAUUAGCUCUAAGUUCUUUCGGUCCGUUUUGAUGAUCCCCGACUUUGCGUAUUACCUCUAAGUUCUUUCGGUCGGUUUUAUGAUCCCUUACUUUGCGUAUUAGCUCUAAGUUCUUUCGGUCCGUUUUGAUGAUCCCCGACUUUGCCUAUUACCUCUAAGUUCUUUCGGUCGGUUUUAUGAUCCCUGACUUUGCGUAUUAGCUCUACGUUCUUUCGUCCCUUUUUAAGAUCCCCGAGUUUGCAUAUUAGCUCUAAGUUCUUUUGGUCGGUUUUUAUGAUCCCUGACUUUGCGUAUUAGCUCUAAGUUCUUUCGGUCCGUUUUUAUGAUCCCCGACUUUGCGGAUUAGCUCAAAGUUCUUUUGGUUGUUUUAAUGAUCCCCGACUUUACGUAUUAGCUCUAAGUUCUUUCGAUCCGUUUUUAUGAUCCCCGACUUUGCGUAUUAGCUCUAAGUUCUUUCGGUCGUUUUUUGAUACCCGAGUUUGCGUAUUAGCUCUAAGUUCUUUCGGUCCGUUUUUAUGAUCCCCGACUUUGCGACUUUGCGAAUUAGCUCUAAGUUCUUUCGGUCAUUUUUAUGAUCCCCGACUUUGCGUAUUAGCUCUAAAUUCUUUCGGUCCGUUUUUAUGAUCCCCGACUUUGCGUAUUAGCUCUAAGUUCUUUUGGUCCGUUUUUAUGAUCCCCGACUUUGCGUAUUAGCUCUAAGUUGUUUUCGUCCGUUUUUAUGAUCCCCGACUUUGCGUAUUAGCUCUAAUUUCUUUCGGUCGGUUUUAUGAUCCCCGACUUUGCGUAUUAG